AGAAAAAGCUUGCUUUUUGCUGACGAGUGGCGAACGGGUGCGUAACGCGUAUGCAACCUACCUUCUUCUAAGGAAUAGCCCAGAGAAAUUUGGAUUAAUACCUUAUGAUAAUAUUUAUUCGCAUGUUUAAAUAUUUAAAACUUCGGUGGAAGAAGAUGGGCAUGCGUAACAUUAGUUUGUUGGUGAGGUAAUGGCUCACCAAGACUACGAUGUUUAGGGGGUCUGAGAGGAUGAUCCCCCACACUGGUACUGAGACACGGACCAGACUCCUACGGGAGGCAGCAGUGAGGAAUAUUGGUCAAUGGACGAAAGUCUGAACCAGCCAUGCCGCGUGAAGGAUGACGGCCCUACGGGUUGUAAACUUCUUUUGUAUAGGAAGAAACCCCUCUACGUGUAGAGGGUUGACGGUACUAUUCGAAUAAGCACCGGCUAACUCCGUGCCAGCAGCCGCGGUAAUACGGAGGAUGCGAGCGUUAUCCGGAAUUAUUGGGUUUAAAGGGUGCGUAGGCGGAAAUUUAAGUCAGUGGUGAAAGCCUGCAGCUUAACUGUAGAAUUGCCAUUGAUACUGGAUUUCUUGAAUCUAAUAGAAGUAGGCGGAAUAUGACAUGUAGCGGUGAAAUGCUUAGAUAUGUCAUAGAACACCGAUAGCGAAGGCAGCUUACUAUGUUAGUAUUGACGCUAAUGCACGAAAGCGUGGGGAGCGAACAGGAUUAGAUACCCUGGUAGUCCACGCCGUAAACGAUGAUUACUCGCUAUUGGCGACACACUGUCAGUGGCUAAGCGAAAGUGAUAAGUAAUCCACCUGGGGAGUACGAUCGCAAGGUUGAAACUCAAAGGAAUUGACGGGGGCCCGCACAAGCGGUGGAGCAUGUGGUUUAAUUCGAUGAUACGCGAGGAACCUUACCAGGUCUUAAAUGCAUAACGAACGAUUGGGAAACCAAUCUUUCUUCGGACGGAAUGCAAGGUGCUGCAUGGUUGUCGUCAGCUCGUGCCGUGAGGUGUCAGGUUAAGUCCUAUAACGAGCGCAACCCCUAUUCUUAGUUGCCAGCGGUUCGGCCGGGGACUCUAAGAAAACUGCCAGUGCAAGCUGUGAGGAAGGUGGGGAUG
RNAcentral lists this ribosomal RNA (1107 nucleotides) under uncultured bacterium. RNAcentral's name for it is "bacterial SSU rRNA". It matches the Rfam family "Bacterial small subunit ribosomal RNA", at positions 71 to 1181 of the family's 1533-position model. The record is from RNAcentral.